This 71-nucleotide transfer RNA is filed under the name Schistometopum thomense. RNAcentral describes it as "tRNA-Asn". The record is from RNAcentral. Lineage: Eukaryota; Metazoa; Chordata; Amphibia; Gymnophiona; Dermophiidae.
UAGAUUGGAGCUCGUUGGUGAGUAUUUAGCUGUUAACUAAGAGGUUAUAGGAUUAAAGCCUAUCAAUCUAA